This 36990-nucleotide long non-coding RNA is filed under the name Eucalyptus grandis. RNAcentral's name for it is "long non-coding RNA (EGRA_LNC005115)". The record is from RNAcentral. Lineage: Eukaryota; Viridiplantae; Streptophyta; Magnoliopsida; Myrtales; Myrtaceae.
UAAACAUGGACUUGCUAUUUUCUUUUCAGCCGCAGCGAUAUAAUUUCUUAAUGAGGGUAUUAGACUUGGUACUUGGCACGGGAGCCUUUAUCGCCUAUUAUGAAAUGCUCAUGAACGAUUAAAUUUAUGAAUUCUGAUGGGAGUCUGCAAUGCAGCCGAGAGUGACAAAGAAACUCGCUAUAACAUGUCCGGUCAAUUACAAGAAAUCGAUGGCACAACUUUUGUCUGCUUGAGAAGUGUUCCUUAAACUGGAAGCCUUAAAGACCUUAUUUUCUUCUGUUCUUUGUCCAGCUGUCAAGAUUCCAACUGCUAUAUUGGGAGCUGAGAUCGACCAUUCUUCCCCGCCGGAACAACUGAAAAAGUUCGGGGAGAUCAUGUCGGCUAAAACUGAAGUAAGCUUCUUAGGAUGCUUUGCGUUGGUUGCAAACCAAUUGUCAGAAAAUGCAAUCGUUUUUCCACGUUCCCGUCAUUUCGCUUGCAAAGCACCUUUCCCUUCCUGGUUAUUUAUACACAUCGCUAAUUCAAAGACCCCGGUUUUGCAGUUUGAGAGCUAUGUGAAGAUAUUCCCUGGUGUUAGUCAUGGAUGGAGUGUGAGGUACGACGACGACAAUGAAUUUGUGGUCAAGAGCGCCGAAGAGGCCCAAGAGGAUACUUUGAAUUGGUUCUUGAAGCAUGUCAAGUGAAGAGAACCGAAGGCAUUGAAGCACAACAUUCUGACGGAAGCAUUAGAUGACUGUAUUGUGUGAGACGAACAGUUUGAGGACUAGUCAUCUAUUGUAAUAUCUGGCGAGGGAACAAUGUACUGUGCUGUUGAUACUUAGAGAAAUAAAGACAUUGGUUUCAUCGCUUAAACUUGGAAGAUUGAAAACGAAAUAUAUCGCCUAGAGUUGUAUCGUGGCGAUUUUCGUGGCGAUUUGGGUGCAUUUUCUAUUCGAAUUGAUCAGAGGUGUUCACUGUCCAUUAAAUGAGGACCACACAAUGGAAUAUGAAACAGCAUAUUCGUUUCCCAAUCCCCUUUUUGAAGGAUAUGUUAUUGCAUGGUUACCACCAAGUCAUCAGCUAAAGUGGCUAAUAUCUAAGGUAAUCUCUAGACCACUUAAUUUUGAAUGCAUCCAUUAUAUUAUAAGUUAUAACUUGACAAAUAUGCGAGCAAUUAAGAUUUCAUUAAAAGAUACACGAUCUCAAAAUCGCAUGCCCCAAGAAAAAAAAAGAAAAAGAGAUGAAAGUAAGGAUAUGGAGAAAAAUAGUAUCCAAAAUAUAUGAGAAACCAACUAUUCGAACUUAUGACAAAAGCGAAGCGUUUGUUUUUGGUCAAGUCUAUAUGAUAGUAGGUCAAGAUUUUUCGAAACUAAAUCAGAUAGACAUGGAAAAAUUCGUCCUUCAUGUAUAUGGUAUAUAUUUUCGCAAUGUGCAUUUGUAUACUGACCAAAAAAUUUCAGCUUUUGGCCAGAUGGUGUUUUUUUGUGAGAGGACGCAUGUCUCUAUCGGGCUAAAUAUAUAAUGGUUUCGUCUUUGUUCGUUUCUCGUCUGUUUCUCACCGGCCCUCUUUCUUGUUUGACAUCAGCAGUGACGUUAAUACGAACCACGAGACCUUUGAUGACUAAUCCGAACCAUAAGAUUACACGGGCAAGGUGUCUGCAAGAGUAACUUUUUCAGACGCUGUGAUAUCGUAUCGCGGAUAAGCCAAUGGUUUUCAGAAGGCAAAGCAUGAUUCCACUUAGCGACCAGUGAAUCACCGUAUCAUCUCUCGUCUCUUGGCUCUGUUCUUACCUCGGAAAGAAUAAAGAAACGAAGAAAAAGACCAUGAACAGUAAACAAUGAAAGAAAAGAGAAGAAAAGAUCAAAAUAUCUAUAAAUUUUUUCAAAACGACGUCGUUUUGAGUGGAGUUGUGCAUGUCAAUAUCACUAACCCUUGCCAUGUAAGAUGACAAGCAUUGAUUUGCACCUCUACAUCAGAAUUUCCUGACAUAAAUUAGUUGGAUAGACAAUAUUACAAAAUUGUUGAAAGGUUCAUGACUACACUAGCCGAAUUGGACAGUUUAUUACAAAAUUGGAACUUGUACAAUUUGUUCACAGCUUUUGGGUAGUUUUUCCCAUCUUAAGUAAGUCGUAAUUCUAAUACAUGGAUGCAUAAGCUCUAUGCUUUUCUUAUUAUGAAGGUUGAAUUCCAUUUGAAGGUUAGGUAAUCGUUUUCUGGUUUAGGUAUUUAUUUUUUGUCCUAUGGUGAAUUAGGUGAUGCUUUUUUCGCCUCGUUGGGACAGAGAAAACUGCUUUGUCUCCAAUCCGGCAACUUCCAUAUUGCUGAACCUGGACAUGAAUUUAGUAUCUGUAACACAAUUGUUGAAAUAACCUAAUGAAAAAACCUAGAUUGGUCGAAAUUGGUUGAUUUGGGUCAUCUAGGAACCGGCUUGUUGAAUUAAAGUCUAUCAAACCCAUUGGUUGAUCCAGGCUGAAAUUGGAUUAGUCCACUUAUCAAUUGCGUUAACAUGUCAGGGCUCAACAGCCGGCAAUUAUCUGGAUUUGUAAGAAAGAUCCAUGCAUAGCCGGUGAUGGGCCUUUCUCUCUUGGAAAUUGGACAUUGCUGAAAAAUGCUUUCAAAGAUCUUUCUAUUGGAGUUUUCGAAGUUCUCCAUAUCCACAAAAAAUGUUUAACUUUUACUAGUUCAAAUUUUCAAAUGAGAUAAAAAAAAAAAUCAUUUUGAGAUGUUUGCUUUCAAAAGUUUCUAAAAUAAGUUUCUAAAGAAAAAUACUCGAGUUUAGCGCACAUCAGACGAUCCCUUCCUCGAGACUGUGGAGUGGUUCCUCGGGUCCAAGAUUCGGGGACAAGGGGGUAGGUUUCCCAAGUCCAAGCACUGGAUUCUACGCACUCCCGAGGCUUAGGUACGAGGCAUCGGAAGUAGGGGACCGAGGUCCCAUCUUGCUCUGUUGCGUAGUGGCGAGUGUUGGGGUCCCUGGUUCAACGCACCAACGUCCCGAGUCCAGCUACUGAAGUUUCAGGACUAAGCAUGGUGGUCUCGAAUUUGACCCACAAGCACCCAAGAUAUUGGGUCCUAGCACUUGGUUCCUAAGUUCGACCCUAAGGUCCUAUGUUUCGCAGCUGAAGUUCCCUAUCUCCAUAGAUGAGGCGAUCAGGUUCUCGAAUUUAGAUGAUAAGGUCUUGGUUUAGCCCUAGGUCAAGGGCAUGGGGAUUGGGGUCCCAAGUUCAAGGGUCGAUGACACGGGCGUGUAUUUUAAAUAUUAUAACUUUUUACUAAGUUCCUUGAUAUUUAACAUAUGCUAGGAUAGAAUUUCUUUGUAAUUUAAUUAGAAUUUCAUUAGUUCUUCAAAUAUGUUAAGUUUUCUUGUUAUAUAAAAUAUUGAGAGUUUUCCUCUGUUGCAUUCAUGUGUGUGCGCCAUCGUGUGUAGUGCGAGUGUUCACUUGUGUUGGCAAAUUGCCACUUGUGCAAUCACUCUUUUAUGUUACAUUAAACGGGUCCGGCAUUUGAGCACCGAUGUCUCAAAUUCAACCUUAAGAUGCAAAGCCCGGCCUGUCACACCCCAAAAACUACAAAGAAUGGGGAUGACACAAAGGUCCUUCUUUACAAAGGACGUAGCCUCAAACACAACCAGCAAACUGAUAUUAACUUAUAUAUAUAUCAGAUAAACCUUCAAAUUGGUUGCAACAUCAGAGUUCCUAUAUGUUGGAGAAAUCUUCCUGGAGUAUUUUGAAGCUGAUAAAACGUUUCCAUCAGUCUAGUCUGAAGAUUUGCAGACUCUACUAUUUAAAGUCUGAAGACCUCUGGACUGCCAGACUCAAGACUCAAAGUCUAUUCUCAUUGACAGUUUCUAAUCCGUCAAAGAAGGGCUAUCCAGGACUGGAUGUUUCGUUAAUGAUUUGACCUUAUCGAUUGGAGAAGAUCUCUUGGCUGUAUAUGACAUAACGGAAUCCUUUAUUGACUCAAAGAUUGAGGAUCUGAUGAUUGGCGGAGUAUACUUGGAAGGUUCUACUUAUGGAAACCGAGAUCCUGAUUGUAUGGGCGAGCAUGAUUAUGGGCUAUCGACAUAUUCCUUAAAUAGCUCGAAUGAUCUUCCUAAUUGAUUCUGUCCAACGGGAAGGUUGGAAGAAUUCCUUUGGUAAAUGCCAACGGGUAUGAUGGCAUAAAGGAGUAUAUAAGGAAGACGUUUAAGUUGUUCAAGUGUGUGUGUGAUAAAAGAAUUCCAAAGUCUGAAGCUCUUUGUUCUUAGUCAAUUCAUUUUCUGAGCGAAAUCUUGUACGCAAAAGAGAGUCCAUAUUCUUGAGAAACCUUGAGGAAGUGUGGUAGAGUAUUUACACUAUGGAAUCAAGGGAAAGCCUUGCUGUAACAACUCUUUUGUUUAUAGUGAAAUCCAGCCGGUGGGCUGUUAGUGCGGAAGAGUGGACGUAGGCUUGGAAUAAGAUGAACCACUAUAAUUUAUGUGUUCAUUUUCUCUUCCCUACUCUCUGCUUUACUUUGAUCAUAAUUUGCUUUGUUAACGAAAGGAGAACUUCCUUUCUAUUGUUUGCUUAGUAUUGCUCUCUUAUCUCGAGAAAAUAUUUUUUACACCUAUUCACCCCCCUCUAGGUGCUUAUACUAGAUAUCUCAAUUGGUAUCAGAGCCUGUGUACUCACUUUGUUUGAAGUGUUUUACUUUAGAGUUAAAGAUCCAUGGCUAGUAUGUUAGCUCCAGGGCUAGUAGAAGGGCAAAGCAAUACCAGACCACCUUACUUUGAUGGAAAUGAAUACAACAUAUGGAAAAACAAGAUGAAGGCGUUCCUAAGAUCAAAGGAUCCUCUGGAAUGGGACGUUAUAGACAACGGAAUCAUUCCUAAAGCUGCACCUGUCUUAGAGAGAGGAAAAGAAACUGUUGAGUCUAGUGAAAUGACUUAGGAAGAGAUAACCAAGAGACAAGCUCUUGAUGCAAAAGUAAUUUAUUCUUUAUAUUGUGCUUUGUCACCUACUGAAUAUAACAGAUUAUCUUCUUGUGUUACAGUGAAAGAAGUUUGGGAUAGAUUACAUAUUACCUAUGAAGGAACCGAUCGAGUGAAAGAAACCAGAAUCAACAUUCUCCUCGAUCAAUACGAAGCAUUCAAAAUGAAAUCAGGAGAAUCUAUAACUAACAUGUUUAGUCGUUUUACAGAAAUCGUGAAUGGUCUUGAAAAUCAAGGUUAACCAAUUUCUGAUCACAUGAAAGUAAACAAGCUACUGCGUGGACUCUCCAAGGAUUGAAAUCACAUAAAGACCUCAAUAAGGGAGACACAAAGAAUUAUGCCACUAUCUAUCGAUGAGUUGGUUGAGACUCUUCAGUCUUAUGAAGUGGAACGAAUCAAUGAAGACGAAGAUCCUAAAGGUAAGAAAUCCAUUGCAUUAAAAUCCAAUGAUGAUUCUGAUGUUACAGAUUCUAAAGACGAUAUGGAUGAUGAGGAGCUUGCUCUCAUGAUAAGAAGAUUCAGAAAGCUGAACAGAAAAGGAAGAAGAUUCAAUCCAAAGAAACAAAGUUUUCAAAAGCAACAAACUAAGUCCGUUGAGGAUGAUGAAUCAAAUAGAGAUGUAGUCUGCUUUGAAUGUAAGAAAAAUGGACACAUCAGACCCAACUGUCCUCUUCUGAGGAAGAAGAAAGGAAAAGUUGAAAAGUAUCAAAAUGCUCUUAAAGCAGAAACCUGGAGUGAUACAGAAUGUGAAGAAAGUGAUGAUGAUUAUGCCAAUUGUCUGGUGGCACAAUCGGAUUCAGAUUCAAACUCCGAGACAAACUCAGAUUCAGACAGUGAAGUUGAGGUGAGUAACUCUAAAAUCCCUAUUAAAGUUUCUAAAUACAUUGAUGAGUUGUGUUUUAGUCUUAAGACUUCUCUUAAAAGGAUUUCCGAACUUAAAAAGGAAAAUUCUGCAUUGAAACAACAGGAAAAUGUUUUGAAAGAAAAUGUGAAAUGUUUAGACAUGAAUGUUUCUACUCUUAAAGAAAGAGAAGACAACCUUUCGAAAGAAAAUGUAUUUUUAAAAAAUGACAUAUCAAAUAUUUUCAAAAGAUUUUCAAUAGGAUCUGAGAAACUUGAGAAAAUUCUUUCAGCAUAAAGACCUUAUUUCAAUAAAUCUGGUUUGGGAAUGACUGUGGAAACCAUUCCUUUAAUUGAUUUUCCUAAAGUGAAGGAAAGAAUUAAGCAAAGACCCAUAAGAGAUGCUUACAAAAAUCAUUUUAAAAAGGUCUUUGUAAAACCAAUAGGUCAGAAUGCUCUCAGAUGUUCAAAGUGCAAUAGUUCAAAUCAUUUUGAGAAAGAAUGUCCUAUGGUUUGGAAACCUGUUAAGAAAGUAUGGGCAAAAACCGCAUAUCAUACUAACACCAAUGGACCCAAGAAAAUAUAUGUACCAAAGAAAGUUUGAGUCUCUUUUUUAAAUGCAGGUCACUAUCAAGAAGAAGGUAAAAUGGUAUCUGGAUAGUGGAUGCUCAAGACAUAUGGCAGGAGAUUCAAAUUGUUUCAUAAAGCUCAUUCACGUAAAUGGUGGAAAAGUCUCAUUUGGAGGAAACAACAAAGGAAGAAUUGUGGGAUUCGGAACUGUAAAUAUUGGAAACCUCACAAUCAGCAAUGUUUCCUUAGUGGAAGGACUCAACUACAAUCUGCUCAGUAUCAGUCAGCUGUGCGAUACCGGUUUCAAAAUCAACUUUCAAGAAGGAAUAUGUUCAGGAACCAGUAAAGAUUCUACUAAGUCAUUCAUGGGUUGAAGACAUGGAAAUAUCUACCUCUUGGACGUGAAACCAAAUGAAUCGCAAUGUCUAAUCUCAAUUCAAGAUGAAGUGAACUUAUGGCACAUAAUACUUGGGCACAUCAAUAUGAAGCAAAUAGCCAAAAUUUCAGCAAAGAAGCUAGUUCGUGAUAUACCCAAUCUGUCAUACCAAAAGUCUGAUCUAUGUACACCAUGUGUAUUGGGAAAGCAUGUAAGAAAUUCCUUUAAACCAAUAAAUCAAGUUUCCACUAAUCGUGUACUGCAGCUUCUACAUAUGGAUCUCUUUGAAUCAACCAGAACUCAGAGCAUUAGAGGUAAUAAAUAUUGCCUAGUAAUUGUGGAUGACUACUCACGAUUUACUUGGGUAUAUUUCCUGACAAGUAAGUCUGAAACAUUUUCUUACUUUGAAAAGUUUGCUAAAAAGAUUCAAAAUGAAAAAUGGUAUGUUAUUUCAAGUAUAAGAACAUACCAUGGAGGUGAAUUUGAAAAUCAGGAUUUUACAAAAUUUUGUGAUAAAUUUGGUUUUCAACAUGUGUUCUCCUCUCCAUAUACUUCAGAGCAAAACGGAGUUGUGGAAAGAAAGAAUAGGUCGCUUCAAGAAAUGGCUAGAACUCUUUUAAUUGAAAGUAACAUCUCUUCACGUUUUUGGGCUGAAGCAGUUUCUAUAGUAUGUUAUAUUAUUAAUGGAGUUUUUCUAAGACCUAUUAUGGAAAAAACCCCCUAUGAGUUAUUCAAAGGAAAGAAGCCUAUUGUUUCAUAUUUUCAUGUGUUUGGAUGUAAAUGCUUUAUAUUGAAAAAUACAAAUGAUCGAGUUGGCAAGUUUGAAGAAAAAUCAGAUGAAGGCAUCUUCCUUGGAUAUUCUACCUCAAGCAAAGCCUACAGAGUCUACAACAAGAAGACUCAAUCUGUGGAGGAAUCAAUGAAUGUCAAAUUCCAAGAUUCUAUGCAAAAUGAAUCUAUUCAAACUCAUCUUGAAGAAUCUGAACUUGCUCCAGACUCUACAAAGUCUAAAUCUCAAGAAGCAGUUCAAACUUCGAAAGACUAGCAUCAAAUGAUUGUUGAAUAUUCAAAUGAAGAAAGUGAUCAUCAACCUGACAAAUCAACCGGUAACUGGAAGCAUAAGUCCAGUCAUCCCAAAGAUCUCAUUAUAGGCGACAUUAAUGAAGGAAUUCGCACAAGAUCCAAAAUGCGCGAAGAGUCUAGUGCUGUGGCUCUUAUUUCUGAAAUAGAACCCAAAAGCAUAGAAGAAGCUUUAUCUGAUGAAAGCUGGAUUGAAGCCAUGCAAGAAGAACUCAGGCAAUUCAGUAUUAAUGAUGUCUGGGAAUUGACUCCUAAACCGAAAGGUAAAUCUAUUAUUGGAGCUAAAUGGGUUUUCAGGAACAAGAUGGACGAGAAAGGAAAGGUCAUAAGAAACAAAGUAAGACUCGUGGCCAAGGGAUAUACGCAAGAAGAAGGGAUAGACUAUGAUGAGACUUACGCACCAAUAGCGAGGUUAGAAGCAAUUAGAUUAUUACUUGCUUUUGCUUGCUAUAAGAAUUUCAGGUUAUUCCAAAUGUACGUCAAAAGUGCUUUCCUGAAUGGAUUUAUCCAUGAGGAAGUCUAUGUGGAACAACCACCUGGGUUUGAAGACCCAAGGAAACCGGACUCAAUAUUCAGAUUGAAAAAGGCUUUAUAUGGUUUAAAGCAAGCACCUCGAGCUUGGUACGACAGGCUGAGUAAAUUUUUAAUUCAAAACGGUUUUGUCAAAGGUAAAGUAGACACUACUCUAUUUAUCAAAAGAGAAAGCAAAAGUUUUCUGCUUGUUCAAAUAUAUGUUGAUGAUAUUAUUUUUGGAUCCUCUUAUCAAAGUCUGUGCAAGAAAUUCUCUAAGUCUAUGCAGGAUGAAUUUGAAAUGAGCAUGAUGGGUGAACUAACCUUCUUUCUUGGACUUCAAGUGAAACAAUUGAAUAAAGGAACCUUUAUUCAUCAAGAAAAAUAUGCUAAUGAUCUUGUCAAAAAGUUUGGACUGGAAAAUUGCAAAAAGACUGAUAUACCAAUGUCAAGUUCUUUAAAGAUAGACAAAGAUGAAGGAGGAAAGAAGGUUGACCAGAAGCUAUACAGGAGUAUCAUUGGUUCACUUCUUUAUCUUACUAUUUCUAGACCUGACAUUUUGUUUAGUGUUUGCAUUUGUGCUAGAUUUCAAGCAGACCCUAAAGAAUCUCAUCUAAGUGCUGCAAAGCGUAUUAUCAAAUACAUUGCAUCAACUUCAAGCCUUGGUCUUUGGUAUCCUAAAAAGGGAGACUUUACUUUUCUUGGAUACUCAGAUGCAGAUCUAGCCGGAUGCAGAGUUGAUAGAAAGAGCACCUUGGGUAUCUGUCAACUACUUGGAAGCAGGACAGUGUCUUGGUUUUCAAGGAAGCAAAAUAUAGUGGCUCUUUCUACAGCAGAAGCAGAGUAUGUAGCUCUUGGAAGUUGUUGUUCACAAAUUCUGUGGAUAAAACAAUAGCUAAGAGACUUUGGAAUUGAAGAUUCAUGCACGGAGAUUAACUGUGACAACACCAGCGCAAUCAAUCUCACCAAUAAUCCAAUUCUUCACUCAAGAGCAAAGCAUAUAGAGAUUCGACAUCACUUCAUUAGAGAUCAUGUUCAGAAUGGAGAAGUUUCGAUUCAGUUUGUUGACUCAAAGAACCAACUGGCGGAUAUAUUUACAAAGCCGUUGGAGAAAAAUCAAUUUGAAAUCAUUCGUUCCAGACUCAACAUCUUGAGGUUUGAAGAAGUAAAAAUCUAGAGACUCUCAGACUCAGACAAUCAAGAUCGUUGAUUGUAAGUUAUUUUAUUCUCUCUCAGAUUAAAUCUUGAAAAGGUACGAUCAUAUGUCCAUAAUUGAUUUUUGCUACUUUCAAUUUCCGUGAUUAGUGCAAUCUUUCUUUUUCGAAAAUGGAGUUAAUUUUUAAAUGGCAGUUAUCUAUUUUUUUUGAAAAAGGCAGUUAUUUUUUAAAAGGGCAUCUUUUUACUUUUCAUUACGACGUUUUGUAUGCCUCUCUUCGACUGACCUAUAUACUGUUGGUUUCUCUUCGUUUAACUCCAAAAACUCUAAAAAGCAUCGAUCUUCCACUUCUGUCUUCUUCUCUUGUUUAAUCUUCGAAAAGUUGUCAUUUUUCUUGGGAAAGUCAAGUUUGGAAUCUUUCAAAGACUGUGAAAGAUGUCGUCUCAAAGGAAGUCUUCGAGGAUCGCGAACAGGGGACCGCAGCAAAUGCGUGAGGGGCCUACGCACUUUGAUCUCACCAAGGAAGAAGAGUCUCCUAGUCAGUAGCAGAGCCCACGACAUUCUCAGCAGCGUCCAUCUUCUCCAUCUAGACCACAGGAUGUUGCUCGUCGAGAAGAGGAAUAAAUAAUUGAAGAUGCAGAAUCGUAAGAACUUUUAAGCCCUCUUUUACCUACAAGCUUUAUCGUGCUUUGAAAAGGGGUGGAACUCCUUUGAAUUACAUUGAUGAAUUUCUGAAAGACAAAGGGUACAAAAAUGAAACCUUUUUUUUUUACGCACAAUGGAACGGUUGGGAAUUGCCCUUGCUGGGUUGGCAGAAGAGGCAAUGUCAAAUAUUCCAAUCGAUCCACGUGUUGGAGGGCUGAAUCAGCCAGAUGGGAAUGAUGAUGACAAGUUGUACAGUCAGUUUCAACCGAGAAUGGGUGUUGUGGCAAAAAUUUGGAGCAAAAGGACAGACUUGUUUCGAUCGGAGGAACACAAGCAUCUAUACUCUAAGUUGUUGAAGCGUGGGGUCAUAAACCCUAGAAGUGUGGAUUUUGAUUUCCUUGACGCUGUGAACGUUAAUUUGAGGGAAAAAUUCAGUCUUCUUCAACUUGAACAGUUCUGUUCUGAAUCUACAGAAGCCUAUGCUGAACUCACUACAUACUUCUAUUCAAAUCUCAGUUUCUUAGAUGCGAAUAGAUUCUCUUUUAGUGUCCGAGAUCAGGACUAUGUGGUGGAUGUAGAUAUGUUGGCUGAUGUGAUUGGGGUUGAGAGAGGGAGAUAUCAACCUAUAAAUGUCUCUAUUGCUCGUGCUACGUUAGAACUUGUUAAGGAUAGAAGGAUAGAGGGAAAGGUUUCCUACUCGAGGAUGAGUGCGUUCAACAUUCUACUUCACAAGAUUGUGAUCAAUUGCCUCAGACCAAAAUCUACUUCAAAGACUGAUGUUUCAAACUCAGAGGCAAAACUGAUGUAUGCCAUCAAUGCUGGGAAAAAGUUCUCUCUUCCUCAUACUAUUAUAUUACACAUGUAUAGAGCAGUGGUGAAAGACAAGGGUCAAAUUCCUUAUCCAGCUCUUGUGACAAAGUUAUUUAGACAUUUGAAUGUUUAGCCUCCCCGGAUUCUCUGUGUUCGAAUUUGUGAUCAAAUGGUAGUGGGACUGAAAAUGGUAUCUAAAAUGCAUCUGAAGGAACUCAACAAGGCGUUGGAGAAAUUUAAGGAGAAAACCCCUGUCAAAACUCAUCAAAUCUCUUUGGCAACAAAAAGAAAAGGGAAGGAGCCCAUGGUUGCUCCAUCCAAGAAAAGAAGAGCUCUCAUUGUUGAGGAUGAAGAAGAUGAGGAAGACAUCACCAUUACUGCAAUGGCAUUGAAGAACCUGAGUUGUUCUGUUCCAGAAUCAACGGAACGACAAGAGAAAGACACAGAACAGAGGACUGGAGAAAGAGAAGAUUUGGAAGCAGAAGAGAAAGAAACAUAGGAGAGAGAAGCUGAAGAAAGAGAUGCGGAGGAUGAAAGAAUUAAAGAAGAAGAAGAAGAAGAGGAAAAAGAAGAUCAAGAGGAAGGAGAGCAUGAGGAACACUCUUCUCCUCCUGAAGGCAUGGAAACAAGGGGAGAUUGUGAGAAAAGAGGAAUAUCCUCAUAUCCUACUACCAGUGAAGGAGUCAGCCGCUCUCCAGCAGAUCUAGAGGACAUCUAUGUCUCUCAAUUUCCUGAGGAGGGACAUGAUGUUUCAUUGCCCAAUCUGCGUGACUAUGCUGAUUUGCCAUCAUCUGCCUUUACUCCAUUUGAUCGUGCAGAAGCUAGUACGCAGACUGAUAAUUCAGCAGAUUUUCACAGAAUUCUUGAUGUUCUCUUAGAAAUGCGGGGUCGGAUAUAUGCUCUGGGAUGCGAAGUACAGAAUUUGCAGACUGCAAAUCAAGCUUCUUCAGUUUCUUUGGAUGAUCAGAUCCAAGCCCUUACUCUUCAGAUUCAAGCAAAUGCUAAGGGUGAAGAGGUGGCUCAACUGAAGGAAGAGUUGACAAAGCUGGAAGGCAUUGUCCAGUCAAUGGGAGAUUUUCAGCUUGUUCGUGUUCCCAAGCAUUCUUGAUUCCAUCUCAACCUUUUUUAUGAUGACAAAAAGGGGGAGAGAUGUGAUUUGAACUUUGAACCUUGAACUUUUUUGAACUUGAUCUUGAACUUUUGAUUUGUUUUGAUGUUUGACUUGACUUUUGUGUCUGGCUGUGGACUAGAUUUGGGAUUUUGGAUUGACUGCUUAUAUUAAGUACUAUUGAUAUCUUAUGGAUGGCUUUACUCAUAUGCAAGACUAACCUAUUUUCUGUGGUUACAGAUUUUAGUGUUAUCAAUAAACCAUUUAUCUUUAUGAGAUAUCCAUAUUUGCUUGAGUAAUAUUUUGCAGGUCAAAGUUAUCCAAACUGUAGGAAAGUUUUGUCACCAUAAAAAAGGGGGAGAUUGUUGGAGAAAUCUUCCUGGAGUAUUUUGAAGCUGACAAAAUGUUUCCAUCAGUCUAGUCUGAAGAUUUGUAGACUCUACUAUUUAAAGUCUGAAGACCUCCGGACUACCAGACACAAGACUCAAAGUCUAUUCUCAUUGACAGUUUCUAAUCCAUCGAAGAAGGGCUAUCCAAGACUGGAUGUUUCGUUAAGGAUUUGACCUUAUUGACUAGAGAAGAUUUCUUGGCUGGAUAUGACAUAACAGAAUCCUUUAUUGACUCAAAGAUUGAGGAUCCGAUGAUUGGCGGAGUAUACUUGGAAGGUUCUAUUUAUGGAAACUGAGAUCCUGAUUGUAUGGGCAAGCAGAAUUGAUGGGCUAUCGACAUGUUUCUUAAAUAGCUCGAAUGAUCUUCCUAAUUGAUUCUGUCCAACGGGAAGAUUGGAAGAAUUCCUUUGGUAAGUGCCAAUGGAUAUGAUGGCAUAAAGGAGUAUAUAAGGAAGACGUUCCAGUUGUUCAAGUAUGUGUGCGAUAGAAGAAUUCCAAAGUCUGAAGCUCUUUGUUCUUAGUCAAUUCAUUUUCUGAGCGAAAUCUUGUACGCAAAAGAGAGUCCAUAUUCUUAAGAAACCUUGAGGAAGUGUGGUAGAGUAUCUACACUGUGGAAUCAAGGGAAAGCCUUGCUGUAACAACUAUUUUGUUCAUAGUGAAAUCUAACCAGUGGGCUGUCAGUGCGAAAGAGUGGACGUAGGCUUGGAAUAAGCCGAACCACUAUAAUUUCUGUGUUCAUUUUCUCUUCCCUACUCUCUGUUUUACUUUGAUCAUAAUUCGCUUCGUUAACGAAAGGAGAACUUCCUUUCUAUUGUCUGCUUAGUAUUGCUCUCUUAUCUCGAGAAAAUAUUUUUACACCUAUUCAUUCUCCCUCUAGGUGCUUGUACUAGCUAUCUCACUAUAAUCCACCAAAAAGAGAAAAGAGAUAUACGUUUAAAACUUAGAUGAUCCAACCACUAGUAAGGAUCAUUUGCAUCACUUCCUUAAACUAUACCAAAAACAAAAUAGAACUCCCCAAAAGUUUCCCACGACAGUGAACUCGCUCUAUUUGCCGCUAGCUGAGGAACCUAAAAAGAUCAAAGGAGGAAUAGGAUGAGCAACCAUAGCUCAGUGAGUAGUACAUAUCUUCUAAACAGAUCGAACAAUCACUAUGCAUAUAUACAAAGCAAUACCAAACUUCAUAACGCCAGCUCAAUAUAUAAAAUACGUAUUGAAUCUUAUAAGAGUUAUUUCUUAUCAUCAAAUAUUUAUAGUAAUAUGGAAAACUCAUUUGAAUCACCAUCAAAAGUCAAGUAUCAAUGGUUGAAUCCAUUGAAUAAUCUCCAUCAAAAACACAUAUCAAUGGCCUAUCCAUUGAUUAAUCUUUUGCUCAAUAACUAACCAUGGUCACGACACAACGCCUUGUGACAAGGCAACCAAGAUUCUCCCUUUGGCAAGGUUUCCACCUACAAAGCCGGUGGCUGAGCCCAGAAGGAUAUCAUAAACCUGGUAUGUAUACCCCAAAUUGAGCAUAAAUAACCAUUCUCCAAUACCAGAAAUCCAAUCCAAAAAUCAAUAUCUUAAACCAAACAAAUAACAUUUUGCAACAUAGCCCAUCAUCCAUUUCAUACUCAUUUCUCAAAUCAUUAAAUCUUUCCAUAAAUCAGUUGCAAAGCAAUUUCAUAUAUGUUUCUUCACAAACCUUGUAUAACGUGCUUUUCAAAGAUUCACAAUCAACCAAAGGGUAGCAAUUGUUCGAUCUGGCUUUUAUGCAAUAAAAAUGCUCUUCUCAAUUCAAUACAUAUACAUAUACAUAUAUAUAUAUACUUCAAGACAUGAUUUUAUAAAACCAAAGAAAAUAUAGUACUACUCACCUUGUCGUCUAUGACCAAACGACAAAUGAUACUUGCAUCGUCGAACUCAAGGCCCUAUCAAAUAACCGAAGAAUAAUGUUAAAAUCUAAUAAAAUUUUAUCUCGACUACAAAAUGACUAAGUUACACCUUAACUCUAACAAAAGGACUUCUGCGUGCUAACAAGUUGCAUAACCAAAGCGAUUGUUCAAGCCAUUCGCAACAUGAAGUUUAAGCGCAAAACUUGAUCGAGCCUUAACUCUCUCUUCCAAACCCCGAUCCAAACGUACUUAUAGUCAAUAGAGAGCCCUUGACACAUAUUGCAAGAAUCUCAACUUCACCGUCCCAAAAUCAAGCCAAAAAAUGACAAAAUACGGGCCAAAGCUGCUGGACGCGUACUGUUCACUGCGCACGGAAAACUUUGAAAUUUUGUUUCGGACAAACCAUAAGCUCAAAUCAUGAUCCGUAAAAUCUCACGGCUCCACAACACCCUAAACUACCAUUUCUACAAAAAUAUGCGGCUCAACGACUCUAAAAUCAGAUUUCGCCGCUCAAUUUUCCAAAAAUUUCGAAUUUGAGUCCCAAAUUCAAAAAUUACUUCAAUUGGAUGAACGAGGGACUCGAUCUCUUACCGGAUGCUGCGUUAUGGAGUCGAGUCGGCUUGGUGAGGUAUCCGAGGCGUGCACAUGCCAAAACUCCUUUCCUUUCUUCCCCUUUCUCUUCUUCUUCUUCUUCUUCUUCUUCUUCUUCUUCUUCUUCUUCUUCUUCUUUUCUUUCUUUUCUUUUUGGUCGAGGAAACUCUCAGCUUCUAUUUAGCCGAGCCCUCUCCCAUCUCUUUUUUCUUUUUUCUUUUUUAUUGCGUUUUUAGCUUUUCGACUUCUUUUUCCGUUUCUUCUUUUGGGGCCUUUAAAACUUCUUUUUCUGUUUCUUCUUUUGGGGCCCACUAGCCUAAUGUUACAUGGCCCAUCAGGCAUCGGGUUUGAAGAGUAGGUUAUUAGGAUCUUGAGUUCUUUCCUUGAUAUCUUGAGUCCUGAAUAUGGGAAUGGUGUUGGUGGUGGUGGAAGUCAAAUCAGAUUCUAGAAAAUGUUGAGUCCUUUCAAGUGGCGGAAAUUUAUUUCCAAAAUCUGAGUGAAGAUUUCUAAUGGAUUAAAAAAAUUCUAUAUUAAAUCAUGUUUCUAAACAACGUCAAAAGGCAAAAGAUGAAGCAGGUAUUUUACCAGCUAAUUUCCGACAAGACAAACGGCUCAAACGUAAUUCAUUAUGCAGAAGCUCCCUGAGACAAAAGGAUCACUUGAUUUUUUAUGGUUCGUUCUCAAAGCAGAUAUGUUCCAGACUUUUUACAAAGAUCAAUUGAUCAAGCGUAUUGGGAAAGUGAGCUUCAAUGAGCUUUAGAGUUUUGACCAUUGAAAAGGGGAAUUUUUUUUUUUGGUAAGGUUGAAAAGGGGAAUUUUUCUAUAUCAAUCAUCUUGAAGUUGGCAUAGGGUGUUUCUAUCAGUUACUCAAAUCUCUUUUAGCUAUUGUUGAAGCAAGCGUCAUUUGACUUGAUUGGUCGAAUUAGGCGGAAUCCACACGUGUAAUCACCUCACCUUCGUGUUCUUUUGGACUUACCCAAUGAAGCACAUAUUUCUAUUUCUCCAGCAAUUAUCUAAUGCACAUGGUGUCACACCUUAAAACUACAAAGAAUGGGGAUGACACGGUCGUCCUUCUUUACAAAGGACGCAGCCUCAAACACAACCAACAGACUGAUAUUAACUUAUAUAUCUCAAACCAUAUAUUUAUCAGAUAAACCAACAAAUUGGUUGCAACAUCAGAGUCUCUAUAAUCCACCAAAAAGAGAAAAUAGAUAUACGUUUAAAACUCAGACGAUCCAACUACUAGUAAGUAUCAUUUGCACCACUUCCUUAAACCAUAUCAAAAACAAAAUAGAACUCCCCAAAAGUUUCCUACUGAUGGCACACUCGCUCUAUUCGCCGCUAACUGAGGAACCUGAAAAGAUUAAAGGAGGAGUGGAAUGAACAACAAUAGCUCAGUGAGUAGUACAUAUCUUCUAAGCAGAUUGAACUACCACUAUACAUGUAUACAAAGCAAUACCAAACUUCAUAACGCCAACUCAAUAUAUAAAAUACAUAUUGAAUCUUAUAUGAGUUAUUUCUUAUCAUCAAAGUUUUAUACUAAUAUGGAAAACUCAUUUAAAUCGCCAUCAAAAGUCAAGUAUCAAUGGUUGAAUCCAUUGAAUAAUCUCCAUCAAAAACACAUAUCAAUGGUCUAUCCAUUGAUCAAUCUUUUGCUCAAUAACUAACCAUGGUCACGACACAACGUCUUGUGACAAGGCGACCAAUAUUCUCCCAUUGGCAAGGUCUCCACCUACAAAACUGAUGGUUGGGCCUAGAAGGAUAUUCUAAACUUGGUAUGCAUACCCCAAAAACCCCUCACUGGGUUCACAAUUAUAUUGAGCAUAAAUAACCAUUCUCCAAUACUAGAAAUCAAAUCCAGAAAUCGAUAUCUUAAACCAAAUAAAUAACAUUUUGCAACAUAGCCCAUCAUCCAUUUCAUAUCCGUUUCUCAAAUCAUCAUAAACAUUUUCAUAAAUUAGUCACAAAGCAAUUUCAUAUAUGUUUCUCCAGAAACCUUGUAUAACAUGCUUUUCAAACAUUCACAAUCAACCAAAGAGUAGCAAUUGUUCGAUAUGGCUUUUUAUGUAAUAAAAAUGCUCUUCUUGAUUCAAUAUAUAUACAUACAUACUUCAAGACACGAUUUUAUAAUACCAAAGAAGAUAUAAUACCACUCACCUCGUCGUCUACGACCAAACGACAAACGAUACUUGUAUCGUCGAACUCAUGGCCCUAUCAAAUAACUGAAGAAUAAUGUUAAAAUAUAAUAAAAUUCUAUCUCGACUACAAAAUGACUAAAUUAUGCCUUAACUCUAACAAAAGGACUUCUACGCGCUAACAAAUCGCAUAACCAAAGCGAUUGUUCAAGCCAUUCGCAACACGGAGUUUAAGCACAAAACUUGAUCGCGCCUUAACUUUCUCCUUCGAAUCCUAAUCCGAACAUAUUUAUAGUGAAUAGAGAGCCCUUGACACAUAUUACAAGAAUCCCAACUUGACUGUCCCAAAAUCAAGCCGAAAAAUGACAAAAUAUGGGCCCGAAGCUGCUGGAUGCGUACUGUUCACUCGCGCGGGAAACUUUGAAAUUUUGUUUCGGACAAACCAUAAGCUCAAUCACGAUCCAUAAAAUCCCAUGGCUCCACAACACUCUAAACUUCAAUUCCUACAAAAAUACACGGCUUAGCGACUCCAAAAUUAGACUUCGCGCUCGAUUUUCCAAAAAUUGAAUUUGAGCCCUAAAUCCAAAAAUUACUUCAAUUGGACGAACGAGGGGCCUAAUCUCUUACCAGGUGCUGCGUUAUGGAGUCGAGUUGGCUUGGCGAGGCGUCUGAGGCGUGCACGUGCCAAAACCCCUUUCCUUCCUUCCCCUUUCUUUUCUUCUUCUUCUUCUUCUUCUUCUUCUUCUUCUUUUCUUUAUGGUCGAGGGCCCUCGAGGGCCCUCAGCUUCUAUUUAACCAAACCCUCUCCCCUCUCCUUUUUGCUUUAUCGGCUUUUUAGCUUCUUUUUCUAUUUCUUCUCUUGGGGCCCACUAACAUAAUAUUACACAUGGGAUGGGGGUACUAACACAUCUAAUAGGGAUGGGAUUAGUUGGGCACGCAAAAAGUCCUAGAAAUCCAUUGCUACAACAAAAGAAUUCGAGGAAUUUGAAACAAGUGACUUUUCCUUUGUCUAGCUUGAAGAGAGAUUCUUCUAUGCCUCAUGAAUGUGACAUUCCUAUUCAUCAAAAUCAAUCACCACAUGUUGAUUAUUGUAAAUUGCCUUAUUUUCUUUUAAAAUUAAAAAAAAAUUGCAUAGACAAUGACUAGAUUGAUUGGUCAGAUCAUCGUUAAAUUGCUUCCUCAAUAGGUGCAUUGAUUGUUGAUCCUAAACUAAACUUAAGAGCUUACACUUCUUUGUGCACACAAAGUUUCAAUCUCUUAUGAACUUGAUAAUAAUGGUCAUAGAACUAUAAAGUUUUUUUUUUAAUUGAGAGGUGUUGAAAAUAAUAGUCACCAACAACAGUAGGCACAUCAAAAGAAGUCUCUAUGGGAAGGUUACACCAUUGUUCCAAAUUCUAAUCUUGAUUAAUGAUGUGACAUCUUCAUUGGGUCUUGAAGUGUCUGUUUAAUUCUCUUUGCUCCAUAGCUAGCAUAUACUAAUUCAAUUUGGAUCAACCGGUUUUACGACUAGAGUGCAAAACGGAAAGAUGAAAUAUAGAUGCCCCUCGGAGAUACCCUAAUUAUAAAUUUCCAAUCAUAACAUUAGGCAAGAUAAAAAUUUGCCAAAUUGAUUGUGACAACCUCUAUAGGGAAUAGAUAAAAAUGCCCUAAUUGUGCACACGACAAAAUGAUUGCCCCCAUCACUAGACAUGGACGGCCCAAUGUUUUACAAUAUUUUACCAGCUAAUUUCCAGCAAGACAAACGGCUCAAACGUAAUUCAUUGUGCAGAAGCUCCCCGAGAUAAAGGGAUCACUUGAUUUUUUCUGGUCCGUUCUCAAAGCAGAUCUGUUCCAGACAAUCAAUUGAAUAUCCACGUAAUUAAGUGAAAUAGUGGCUUUUGUCUCAAUUUUACUGGUUUUCCUAAAUUAUCCAUAUAUGAAAUAUUAAAGAGUAAAAAAAAGAUAUAAAUUACAUUUUUGAUAAUAUCCCACCUUCAUUUGGUUCCUCCCGUAACUAUCCAUUUGCACCUACUCUUAUAUUGACUGACAAGAAAGUUAUGUUGUACCAAAAAGCACCAUCUCUUUAACCCACUGUCUGCACCUUUGACAGUCACAUGGAAUUCUCUUCUAUGAUCUCCGCUUCUUAUCAUCAUUCUCUUAUUAUUUUUAACGACGAAAUUCACUCUAUGACUGAAAUUUUAUCAACUUACAAAUAUUACUCAUGUAUAUUACAAAAUUCAAAUUAAAAUAAGCAUCACGAUUAUUAAGCCCGCGCACGCACGGUGCGUACAAACAAUCACCCAAUUCCAUGCACAUACAUAGCUCCUUUUUAAGCCAAAGAGAAGAGAGAAUCACUUGCAUCUUGAUUGAGUUGUUGUUACGAUACACGGACGCGUAAGCUCUAUGCUUUUCUCGUUAUGAAGGUUGAACUUCCUUAAAAGAUUACAUUAUCAUCUUCUGGUUUAGGUACUUAUUAUUGCCCUAUUGGUGAAUUAGCUGAUGCUUUUCUCCGCGUCGUCAGGAUAUAAUAUGCACAUAUUAACGUCAUGACAGGGACAACUGAUUUGUCUCCAAUCCGGCGACUUCCAUAUCGCUGAACUUGGACGUGAACUUUGGCACCCUUACAGUAGUUGUUGGAAUAGUCUAAUGACAAGAACCUGGAUUGGUCCGAAUUGAUUGAUUUGGCUUCUCUAGGAGCCAGCCCUUGAAUUAAAGUCUAUCAACCCCAGGCGUAGACUUAUAUUAGUCGAUCCAAGCUGAAAUUGAAGUGUCCCGUUCAUAGAUUGCAUUAGCAUGUCGGGACUCCAACAGCCGGCGAUUAGCUGGAUUCCUAAGAAAGAUCCAGCAGCAUAUUGUGACUGGUUGAUAAUGGCUCAAGGAAUUUCCAAACAAAAGCAAAGCAUAUGAUGGGCCAUUUGUCUCUUGGGGAUUGGACAUUGCUGAUUUUUUUUUUCUAAGAUCUUUAUGUUGGAGAUUUCGAAGUCGUUAAUUUUCAGAAUAUGUGUUUAGCAUUUCUUAAUUCAACUUUUCAAAUAAGCUAAAAGUCAUUUUGAGACCUUUGUAUUUCCAAACUAUUUUUUGAGAUCCAAGUUUAGCGCACAUCGAAUUAUCCAUAUCUAUAGACCUUGAUCCUUGUGCCAAGAACCAAGGAGAGUGGCGUAUUAGCUGUGGACUAGGAUCCUUAUGUGGAUGAUCCAGGGUCAAUUUACACAUCCAUGUAUUGGAAUCUCUAGGCUCCCGAGAUUAUAUAUGAGGCACUAAGUAGGACACCGAGGUCUCGUCUUGCCUUGUUGUCUAGUGGCGUGUGUUGGGGUCUCAGGUUCAAGGCACUGACGUUCUUAAUCCAAGAGGUCUUGAGACUAAGCAUUGAAGUCUCGAAUUUGAUCCAUAAGGGCGUGUUUGGUAACGUUUCUGUUGCCCGGAACAAUUUCUAAGCAUUUUAAGCUGUUUGGUAACUGUCCAAAAUUUCAAUUCUCAGAAUAGAAUUGCGUUUAGUAUAGUGCUCAAAAUUUCUACUCCAAAUCAUUUUCUUUUAAUUUUAAAUUUUUUUAAAUUUUUUUUCCUUUUUUCUUCUUUUCUUUUUUCCCUUUCUUUCUCAUAUUCUUCUUCUUCAAGUGGCCAAUUGUCAACAGGUUGGUCGGCGACUGGCUAGACGAGAGUUGGCAACCUCACCGGAGCGUUGCCAACCCUUGGCGAGGACGGCCAUUGUCGGCCGAGCCUCGCUGGCAGCUGGGCAAGGCUCGGCCGAGCCUCAGCGGGGCUGGGGGAGGCCUGCUUGGCCACCGACGAGGCUCGCCCAGCCCCUUCGAGCCUCAUCGAACUAGUUGCUGGUGAUUGGCGACGGUGGGCGGCGGAUGGCGAACGGCAACCACGACGGUGGCAGUAGAUGAAGAAGAAGAAAAGGGAAGAAGAACAAGAAAAAAGAAAAAAAAAAGAGAAAUUGAUUUUAGAAUUGUUCCCAAGAACAAUAAUCAACCUUUUUUAUUUUUAUUUUUAUUUAUUCUUGAUUCUGUUCCAAAUCUACUUUUGGGAACAAAAAAAUAGAAAUUUGUUUCCGAGAAUAAAAUUUUUACUAAACACGAUUCUAUUCCAAAAUUGCUCAUGGGAACAAAAGAAUAGAAAUUUUUACUAUUUGGCCAGUUAGGGUCUGUUUGGUAACCAUCCCAACAGUGCCAAAUUCUGAUUCUUUGUUCCCGGAAUCAGUUUCGGCCUAGAAUCGCGUUUGGUAAAUUUUUUGUUCCCGGGAACAGAUUGGGAAUAGAAUCAAGAAUAAAAAAAAAGUUUNNNNNNNNNNNNNNNNNNNNNNNNNNNNNNNNNNNNNNNNNNNNNNNNNNNNNNNNNNNNNNNNNNNNNNNNNNNNNNNNNNNNNNNNNNNNNNNNNNNNUCUUCAAGUGGCCAAUUGUCAACAGGUUGGUCGGUGACUGGCUAGACGAGAGUUGGCAACCUCACCGGAGCGUUGCCAACCCUUGGCGAGGACGGCCAUCGUUGGCCGAGCCUCGCUGGCAGCUGGGCAAGGCUCGGCCAAGCCUCAGCGGGGUUGGGGGAGGCCCGCUUGGCCACCGACGAGGCUCGCCUAGCCCUUUUGAGCCUCACUGAACUAGUUGCUAGUGAUUGGUGAUGGUGGGCGGCGGAUGGCGAACGGCAACCACGGCGGUGGCAGUAGAUGAAGAAGAAGAAAAGGGAAGAAGAACAAGAAAAUAAAAAGAGAAAUUGAUUUUAGAAUUGUUCCCAAGAACAAGAAUCAACCUUUUUUAUUUUUAUUUUUUUAUUCUUGAUUCUGUUCCAAAUCUACUUUCGGGAACAAAAACAUAGAAAUUUAUUUCUGAGAACAAAAUUUUUACUAAACACGAUUCUAUUCCAAAAUUGCUCAUGGGAACAAAAGAAUAUAAAUCGUUACCAAACGCGCCAUUAGCAAACAUGACCUAAGCAAGCACCCAAAGGUCAUGGGUCUGGGCAACUGGGACCUAAGUCCAACCACAAGGUUCUAUGUUUGGUAGCCAAAGUCUCAUCUCUUCAUGGAUUCAACGGUUUGAGUUUUGAGUUAAGAUGCUGAAGGCUUGGUUCAACCCUAGGUGCUAGGGACGGCGCUCAUUGUUCCCAAGUUGAUGACAUGGGAUGCAUGUUUUUAAAUAUUAUGAUUUUUAUUUAUUCUCUUGUCUUUCUUUAUUUUAGAAAUUAUUUUAGGAUACUGGAUGAUUUGUUUCAAUAGUUAUCAUUUACAUAUUUAAGAUAUCGUGGGAUAGAAUUUCUUAUUAGUUUACAUAUUUCCUAUUAUGAAAUUAGAAUUUCCUAAGUGUUUUAGAUAUAAAUAUGCAUUGUGUUUUUCUUGUAAUUUGGCUUAUUUAUUGAUGAAUAAAGGAAAAUUUUCAAAUGAGGGCAUAUGGUGCUCUCAUUUUCUCAAAUAAGUGCCCGAAGUAGCCGUUAUUUUAAAUAAGGGCUAGAAAAAAAAUGAAUUGACCAAAUUCUCUCGAAUAAGGACUUUUGGCUAGCCAUUGACUAUUCUGUCAUUGGAGAAAGGGUAUUUUAGUAAAAAAAAAAUUCUAAGUAUAUAUUUUUUAUUUUUCUCUCCUUGCCAUGCCUCAAGUGAGGGUUGCCUUUGCUGGCGUUGGGUGAGGGUGAAGGUUGCCCUUGUUAGCCCAAGUGAGGCGAUCCUUGCCCAAUGCUGGGGAGGAGGAGCCGUUGCUUGAGUCCAGCAACUUGAUGGAAAAUGGGGAAAAAAGAAAAAGAAAAUAACAAAAAAAAGAAAAAAAAAAAGGAAUUUUUGUAAAGAUGAAAAUGCCUUUCAAUCAGCAAGGUUAGCCUCUUCUUUGAGACCAAUAUGGCUACUUUAGGUAUUUAUAUGAAACAAUUUCACUUCAAGCUCUUAUUUGAGAAAAUUAUAGCACUUCAAGCCCUUAUUUAAAAUAAAGUCUACUUUAGGCCAUUAUAUGAGAGAAAAAAAAAAAGGAACACUUUAAGCCCUUAUUUGGAAUUUUCCCAUGAUUUAAUGGAAAAAUAGUGAGGUUUUCUUUGUAGCAUUUCGUGUAUGUGCAUCAAAAUGCAUAUCAUGAGUGUUUACUUGUGUUAAGGAAUUCCCAUAUAUGCUAUCACUCAUUUAGGUUAUGUUGGGCUAUCAUAGGUGUUGUCUAGGCAUCACUUGUCUAGCAGUAGUGCUUGUUCAACACUUGUUGCUCCAUAGCUUGCAUAUAAACUAAUUCGAUUUGGAUCACCAUUGGGUUUUUAUUUCUUAACCAUACCAAUUUGCUUCUUAAAUUCACCAAUUUAUCGAAAGGUUGAAAAAAUAAAAUCCAUGCCUAAUAAUUAGGGAAAAUAAAAGUUUAAUAUCAUCUCUGGUAGGAGCUGGAUUUAUAGUGCCACUAGUGAGCAAUUUCACCCAAAAGAACAUGUUUAAUUGAGAAACCUUGAACCGACACAAACAAGGAAAGGAUUACCCACAAAGGGCAAGACAGAAAAGGUGAAAUAUAGACUCCACCUUAAAAAAAAAAACCCAAUUAUAGAUUCACCAUCAUAGCAUCCAGCCAAAAGAUGGAAAAAGGAAGGAACCCCAUCGAUUGCGACAAUCACCAUCGGAAAAUAGAUAAGCUUCGCACAACUUGUGCACUCCACAAAAUGAUUGCGCCCAUCACAAGUUAUGGAGCGCCCCAAUGUCAACAUCUUUAGGGCUAGAACGGCUUAAUUGAUAAGAAAUCAUCUUGAUUAUCAUCAAGACAACGUUGGCCUAAGAAAUCGAGUCUGAUUGGGAUUUGGAAAAAAAAUGCAUAUAUUCGCGUCGAUAAUGAAAUUUUACGCGCGUGGGUAACAUUUUCAAUGGUGGGAUUGGUGUAGGUCUGCGCAUCCAGAAAUGAUUGUCACGACAAUGAGUCUUUAUCUUGAUAUUGAUUAAGUUUAACGAGUUUUUAUAAAGAGUCAAAUGAUUUUUUUUUUUUUUAAAGCAAAGGAUUAAUCAUUAUUUGAUGCCUAGGGGGCCGGCAAACACAGAGAACGAGGAGACAUCGCCAUAGAAAAAGUUGGUACCUUGAUUUGAUGGAUUUUUUCAUACUACGCACAUCAACCGUUCACGUACUCCAAAGGCGGGGCCUCUCAUGCUCCGAGUCAUGAAAUACCCACAAGAAUUUAUUUGCUUUGUCACUAUAUUAUUUAUCACCUAUGUAUGUAUUUAUGCAUCAACAUAGGUGAAAAUCAUCAUAUAUAAACCGAACCACUAUGAGUCAAAUCAUUUCAUACAUAUAUAUAUAUAUAUAUAUAUAUAUAUAUAUAUAUAUAAAGUAUGUUUGUUUUGUGAUUUUUGUUCUAUUAAGUUAAUGUAACAUGUACAAAAGGCGAUCGUCCGACGAGUUUGAGAUUUUACAAAACACAAGCUAAAUUGUUCCCUCUAGUCAAUUUCAAAAGAGUUGGAAUAUUGCAAACUUAACGAAUUUUUAUUUUCUUCGAAAAACAGAACACCAUUUGUCCGCACAACAAGAGGAGACAUUACCAAAUUUUGUGGACAUGCUUUGUCCGAGACCCAGCCCAUGUCCAGCAGCCCAGAUUGUGAUGGGUCCAGCCUGGACAGGCCCAUGGGGUGGCUGAUGGGCCUUGUCAAACACUAUUCAGUUGCUCUCCUAAGCUACAUAAACGAUCAACGAUAAAAUUCAAUGUCACAGGACAAGUUUCUGUCGGGCACAAUGCAAAUAAUGAGGUCCUAGAAUUAUAUAAUUGCUUUUGAGAUGCGAAGUUCUCAUUUAUCUAAAUCAAUCGUAGCAUGGCAAGUGUUACCAACUUCCUUAUCUUCUUUCAAGAUUAAUAAUAGUAUUUUUCCACAUGAUGAUCCACUUGGAUGGAUUGAAAUGUCAUACUUUGAGAGCACAUAAUUUUUUUUUUAGUAGAUAGAUAUUUUAUUCCUUCUCCUGUUUGCAUUCUAAUAUAAAAAUAUGAAUGCCGCUACCCAAUAUGCUUUCCACUUAAUGAUUGGAGCGUUGAUCUUGUUGUAAAUGCUAGAUCAUCAACUAGGCCGUCUUAAUAAAGAUUAGUUGAAGUUUGCUAUACUUAAGCUCUUUGUGAGGUGCCCAAAACGAGCUCCAAAUUGCAUAAAGACCUUCGACACGAGCCUGUAAUUUGAAGAGACAGUCGACGUGACCCCAAGUUUUGUAUAUUUGUAAUCUUAACGCAUGUAUGUUGUGGACCUACUUGGUCACAUCCCAUAUGCUUGGGUUCUGUCAUGUUCAAUUGGAUGUCACCAUAUCCAAGUUUGUCAUAGCUGUCGACCUAGACUAGGUAAGAACCACAUCAAUUUGCUUCAGUCGGUCGUGAGUAAAUUAUGAGCUGGGAUAAAUGCAAGUGAAUCUCAAGUGAUGCACUGGAGAAAAUAUUUGGAAAUGCCAUCGAACCUCACCUUUUGUCACUUCUAAGUAGUUAUUGAAUGAUCGGGAACGCCUUCUGUCACACCCGAAAACUACAAGAAUGGGGGAUGACACAGCCGUCUAUCCACACGAGGGACGUAGCCUCAAACACAACCAAUAAACUGAUAUCAACUUUUAUAUAUAUAUAUAUAUCUCAAUUAUAUAUAUACAUAUCAGCUAAAUCAAUAAAUUGGUUGCAACAUCAAAGUUUCUAUAAUCCACCAGAAAAGAUAUACGUUUAAAACUUAGACAAUACAACCACUAGCAAGGAUCAUAUGCACCACUUCCUUAAACCAUACCAAAGAAAAUAAAAAUAGGACUCCCUAAAAGUUUCCUACCAACGGCCCUCUCGCUCUAUACGCUGCUAACCGAGGAACUUGAAAAGAUUAAAGGAGGAGUGGGAUGAGCAACAACAGCUCAGUGAGUAGUACAUAUCUUCUAAGCAGAUCGAACAACCAUUAUGCAUGUAUAUAAAGUAAUACCAAACUUCAUAACGCCAACUCAAUAGAUAAAAUACAUAGCAAAUCUUAUAAGAGUUAUUUCUUAUCAUCAAAGCUUAAUAAUAAUAAUAUGGAAAACUCAUUUAAAUUGCCAUCAAAAGUCAAGUAUCAAUAGUUGAAUCCAUUGAAUAAUCUCCAUCAAAAACACAUAUCAAUGGUCUAUCCAUUCAUUCAUCUCAUAUCAAACACACAUCGAUGGUCUAUCCAUCGACCAAUCUUUUGUUCAAUAACUAACUAUGGUCAUGACACAACGCCUUGUGACAAGGCGAUCAAGAUUUCCCCUUGGCAAGGUCUCUACCUACAAAGUCGAUGGCUGGGCCCAGAAAGAUAUCCCAAACCUAGUAUGCAUACCCCAAAAAGCCCUCACUGGGUUCACAGUCAUAUUGAGCAUAAAUAACCAUUCUCCAAUACUAGAAAAUCAAAUUCAGAAAUCAAUAUCUUAAACCAAAAAAAUAACAUUUGCGGCAUAGCCCAUCAUCCAUUUUAUAUCCAUUUCUCAAAUCAUCAUAAACCUUUUCAUGAAUCAAUCACAAAGCAAUUUCAUAGAUAUUUCUCCACUUACUUUGUAUAAUACACUUUUCAAACAUCCACAAUCAACCAAUGAGUAGCAAUUGCUUGACCUGGCUUUUAUGCAAUAAAAAUGCUCUUCUCAAUUCAAUAUAUAUACAUAUAUAUAUAUAUAUAUAUAUAUAUAUAUAUAUAUAUAUAUAUAUAUAUACUUCAAGACAUGAUUUUUACAAAACCAAAGAAGAUAUAGUACCACUCACCUCGUCCUCUACGACCAAAUGACGAACGAUACUUGUGUCGUCGAACUCAAUGCCCUAUCAAAUAACCAAGAAAAAUGUUAAAAUCUAAUAAAACUCUAUCUCAACUACGAAACAACUAAAUUACGCCUUAACUCUAACAAAAGGAUUUCUACUCGCUAACAAUUUGCAUAACCAAAACUAUUGUUCAAGCCAUUUGUGACGCGGAGUUUAAGCGCAAAACUUAGUUACGCAAUAACUUUCUCCUUCGAACCCCGUUCCGAACGUACUUAUGGUCAAUAAAGAGCCCUUGACACAUAUUACAAGAAUCCCAACUUGACUGUCCCAAAAUCAAGCAAAAAGAUGACAAAAUACGGGCCCAAAGCUGCUGGACGCGUACUAUUCAUUGCGCGCGAGAAACUUUGAAAUUUUGUUUUGGAAAAACUUAUAAGCUCAAAUCAUGAUCCAUAAAAUCCCACGGCUCCACAACCCCUAAACUACCAUUCCUACAAAAAUACACGGCCUAACGACUCCAAAAUCGGACUUCGCUGCUCAAUUUUCCAAAAAUUCCGAAUUUGAACCCUAAACCUAUAAACUGCUUCAAUUGGACGAAUGGGGGGCCUGAUCUCUUACCGGGUGCUGCAUUAUGGGGUCGAGUUGGCUUGGUGAGACAUCUGAGGCGUGCAUGUGCCAAAACUCCUUUCCUUUCUCCUUCUUCUUCUUUUUUUUUUUUUUUUUGGUUGAGGACCCCUCAGCUUCUAUUUAACCGAGCCCUAACUUUUCAACUUCUUUUUAUAUUUUUUCUUUUGGGGCCCAGUAGCCAAAUAUUACAUUCUACCUUCCUAAAAAAAAAAUUCGUCCUCGAAAUUUACAUGUACUUCAAUCAUAAAACAAGUGAGGGUAUUUGUGUCAUGCCUCCUCCUCAAGUUCCCAAGUAGCCUCUCUCUCGGUGUGGUUUUGCCAUUGUAUUUUCACAUAAGGAAUAGUUCGUCGCCGCAACACCUGAUCCUUCUUAUCGACAAUGCAAAUAUGUUGUUCCUCAUAUGUCAAGUUCUCCCGUAAUCUCAAUGGAGUAAAGUCUAGCACAUGUUCAGGAUUUGCACAUAUUUCCGCAACAAAGAGACAUGGAACACAUUAUGGACACCUGAUAGUGCCGGUGGCAAAGCUAAUUUAUAAGCGACUUCACCAAUUUUCUCUAAGAUCAAGAAUGGUCCCAUGUACCUUGGACUUAACUUCCCACGUGUGUCAAAUCUCGUUACACCCUUCGUAGGAGAAACUUUUAAGAACAUGUGAUCCCCCACAUUAAAUUCUAACUUGUGUCUUUUUAGAUCAGCAUAACUUUUCUGACGAUUUUGAGCCGUUCUGAGACGUUCUCGAACCAACCUAACUUUCUCUUCUGACUGCUGGAUGAACUCAGAGCCAGUUAGUCUUUUCUCACCAACGUCAUCCCAAAAAAUAGGACUUCUACAUUUUCGCGCCAUCUUAAUACUGGAGUGAUAAUUGUUGUUAUAAGAAAAUUCUGCCAAAUAUAGAUGUUCAUCCCAAGAACCGCCAAAGUCAAUGAUGCAUGAUCUCAACAUAUCCUCUAAUGUCUGGAUCGUUCUCUCUGAUUGUUCAUCUGUUUGUGGAUGAAAAGCUAUACUUAAGUUGAGUUUAGUGCCCAAUGUUGCUUGCAAACUCUUCCAAAAGUUAGACACGAACCUAGGAUCCCUAUCAGAAACAAUGCUUACAGGAACUCCAUGAAGCUUCACUAUCUCAUUAACAUAUCGCCUUGCCAUAUCUUCCAUUGAAAGACCAAAUUGAUAUGACAAAAAGUGAGUGGACUUAGUUAAUCAAUCACUGUUCACCCAAAUAGAAUUCCUACCACUUGGCGUCCUCGGUAGACCAACUACAAAGUCCAUGGCAAUAUGCUCCCACUUCCAUUUAGGUAUCUUUAGAGGUUGCAACUAUCCACCUGGUUUAUGAUGUUCAAUUUUCACUGGCUGAUAAACUAAACAUUGAUCAACAAAUUUUAUAAUAUCAUUUUUCAUGUUGAUUCACCAAAAGUUUUUUCUCAAGUCCCUAUACAUUUUAGUGCUUCCCGGAUGAAUUGAAAAUCUAGUACUGUGAGCUUCUUGCAGGAUCUCCUUUUUUUAGCUUUGAGUCCUCAGGAACACAUAGUCGACCACGAAACAUCAAGGAUCCAUCUAUAUGUAAACUAAAUCUGCUUGUCUUCUAGCUUCCACAGCUUCUCUAAUUUUUUGUAAUUGUGGAUCUUCAUUCUGUUUAGCCUUAAUUAUGUUAAUCAACAUAGGUUGUACUUGAAGAUUAGCUAAUUGAGCACCAAGCUGCUGCACCAACACCUCUAAGUCUAACUUCCUCAUAUCUUCAAGAAUGGGUUUUUAAGAAGUGAGCAAAGCUACCAUAUUUCCAAAGGAUUUACGACUUAAAGCAUCCGCUACCACAUUAGCCUUACCCGGAUGGUAAUUAAUGGAUAAGUCAUUAUCCUUCAAAAGUUCUAACCAUCUUCUUUGCCUCAUGUUCAGUUCUUUCUGAGUAAAAAUAUACUUUAGACUCUUGUGAUCGGUAAAGGCUUCACAUUUUUCACCAUACAAAUGAUGCCACCAUAUCUUCAAGGCAAACACAACCGCCGCUAACUCCAAAUCAUGAGUGGGGUAGUUCUUCUCAUGUAAUUUCAAUUGUCUAGAAGCAUAGGUAACAACUUUGCUAUUUUGCAUAUGAACACAACCCAAACCUUCUUUGGAUGCGUCGCAAUAGAUUAUGAAGCCACCACUUCCAAAAGGUAGAGUUAGAAUAGGAGCCGACACCAGCCGUCUCUUCAACUCUUGAAAACUGCGUUCACAUUGGUCUGACCAUUCAAAUUUAACUUUCUUCUGGGUUAGACGGGUAAGUGGACUAGCAAUCUUUGAGAAUCCCUCUACAAAUCGCUUAUAGUAGCCGGCUAGCCCAAGAAAACUUCUCACUUCUAUAACAUUAGUUGGACGAUUCCACUUAACAACUACUUCAACCUUCUUUGGAUCCACUAAUAUGCCAUCCUUCGAGAUCACGUGACCCAAGAAUUCUAUAUGAUCAAGCCAAAAAUCACACUUACUAAAUUUGGCAUACAACUUCUUUUCAUGUAAAGUCUGCAAGACAAACCUCAAGUAUUGUUCGUGUUCCUCUAAACUCUUUGAAUACACUAGGAUGUCAUCAAUGAACACCAUAAUAAAUUUGUCUAGAUAUUCGUUGAACACUUUGUUCAUCAAGUCCAUGAAGGCAACAAGCGCAUUUGUUAAUCCAAAAGGCAUGACGAGAAAUUCAUAAUGGCCAUACCUUGUUCUAAAAGCAGUUUUAGGCACAUCAUCUAUUUUUAUCUUCAACUGAUGAUACCCAUAACGAAGGUCAAUCUUGGAAAAUACCUGAGCUCCCUGAAGUUGAUCAAAUAAAUCCUCAAUCUGAGGCAAAGGAUAUUUGUUUUUAACCGUUACCUUGUUAAGCUCUUGAUAAUCUAUGCAAAGCUACAUACUACCAUCCUUCUUUUUCACAAAUAGAACAGGAGCUCCCUAAGGCGAAACACUAGGUCUGAUGAAACCCUUAUCUAAAAGCUCUUCAGUUGCGUUUUCAAUUCUUUCAAUUUAGUGGGUGCCAUCCGAUAUGGUGCCUUAGAGAUUGGUGCUGUACCGGGCAUCAAUUCAAUACAAAACUCAAUUUCUCUAUCAAGAGGCAAUCCUGGUAAAUCCUCAGGAAACACACUUGGAAACUCUCUAACGACAGGAACAUCUUCCAACUUUACUACAACCUUAUGUGUGUCUUUUACACAAGCUAAAUAACCACAACAACCCUUUCUCAAAAGUUUCCUUGCUUGCAAAGCCGAGAUCAACCUUGGAGAAGUGUUUUGACAACUUCUCGAAAAAGAGAAUUCGGGUUGAUUCGAAAAUCUAAAUAUCACUUUUUUUGAAAAACAGUCAACAAUAGCACGAUAGGUAGAUCACCAAUCCAUUCCUAUAAUAACAUCGAAAUCUCGAAUAUUUAACUUUACUAGAUCCAGAGGCAUUUCAACAUUAUUAAUCUGAAUCACACAUCUCUUGAACACAUGAUGAACAACUAAGAAAUCGCCAGUAGGAGUAUCAACACACAAUUCACAUUCAAGAGGGUCAGGCAACACAUCAAGCUUCUUUGCAAAUUCAGUUGAAAUGAAGAAGUGCGUAGCACCAGGAUCAAAUAAGGCAUAAGCACAUUGUGAGGCAAUAGAAAUAUUACCUGCAACAAUUGCGUUAGAUGCUGCCGCAUCCUCCUUCGUCAUCGCAAAAAAUUUCUCACUUGUACUUUGUCUUUGUUGGUUCUCUUGGGGCCUACCAACGAAAGGGGUAUUCCUCCGCAUGGAACACUGGUGUGCUAGGUGGCCUUGUUGCCCACAUAGAUUACAUGAUCUAUUGCCAAUAGGAUGAUUCCUUUGUGUAGAACAAUCUCGCAGCAUGUGUCCCGCUUUCCCACAUGAGAAGCAUACUUCAGUUUUCCAAUGACACUCACUGCGAUGAUAACUUCCACAUGUAUUACAAGGGCCUUGGUUACUCGAAUUUCUGAACUAUCCUGGCUGGCUGAAACCUCUUCGCCUUCCACUACCAUCAGUAUGGCUACCUUGUACAUUUGUGGGCUUAAACCUUUUGGGUUGAGGCGCUCCUUGUGUGCCAUGCUUCAGAAUGCUUUGUUCCACCUUGAUUGUCCGUUCUAGCACAUCCUUAUAAGUUUUUAAUAUGAAAGGUGCAAGUGCAGAAUUAAUUUCAGGUCGGAGCCCUCCUAGGAAAUGGUCGUUCUUAUCUUCCUCAUUUGCUACCAAGUGCUAUGUAAAUGUACUCAACUGAUUAAAGCACCGUGGAGUCACCCUCAGAUAUAUGUACAAAGUCACCCUUCAUCUUUGCUUGGAAUGACUUUGGGAAGAAUUGAGCAUUGAACGCCUUUUUAAAGUCCUCCCAGGAUAUAAUAACAUCCCUACCUCCAAGACUUGGCUUCAUUCCAUCCCACCAAAACUCUACUUCACCUUCCAGGUAUUGGGUGGCAAAUUGAACUUUUCGAUCCACGGGAACCUCUUCAGCUUCAAAGAUCCCAUCAAUCUUUUUAAUCCAACGCUUAGUCGCAAGAGGAUCAGCUUUCCCAUCAAAAGUGGGUGGUUUUGCCUUUCUUAAAUGGCAAAAGUGCCUGAGCCAGUCACUCCAUCUCCAGUUAAUUCUUUUGCUUGUUGAUACCAAUGGAUCAUUGCUUGUUCAAAUUCAGUUGAACGGGUUGGCUCUUGAUCCUCUUCUUUGACUUCGCGCAAGUUAGGACUCCUAUUAUAGUGGUCCUCAAGUCUCCUUCUCAAAAACGCACCUCGAGAAGCUUGAGGCAUGUCUCUAGCCUCAGGGGUAGCGACUCGUUUGCCUUUGCGGCUCCUACGAAGCGAGGCAAGUGUCUCAAAGUUGGUACUCAUGAUCACCUGAAUCUAAUAAUGAAACUACACCUUAGAAUCUAGAAGACUAACGCAAAAAUAAAAUCUAUCACACAACCUCACAACAUCCCAUAACUACAUCCAAAAAGAUCAAAACUUAGGCUCUGAUACAAAAAAUGUCACACCCCAAAACUACAAAGAAUGAGGAUGACACGGCCAUCAUUCCACACGAAUGACGCGACCUCAAACACAACCAACAAACUGAUAUCAACUUAUAUAUAUCUCAAACCAUAUAUAUACAUAUAAGAUAAACCAACAAAUUGGUUGCAAUAUCAGAGUUUCUAUAAUCCACUAAAAAAAAUAUACGUUUAAAACUCAGACAAUACAACCACUAGUAAGGAUCAUGUGCACCACUUCUUUAAACCAUACCAAAGAAAAUAAAAAUAGAACUCCUCAAAAGUUUCCCACCAACGGCCCUCUCGCUCUAUUCGCCGCUAACCGAGGAACUUGAAAAGAUUAAAGGAGGAGUGGGAUGAGCAACAACAGCUCAGUGAGUAGUACAUCUCUUCUAAGCAGAUUGAACAACCAUUAUGCAUGUAUAUAAAGUAAUACCAAACUUCAUAAUGCCAACUCAAUAUAUAAAAUACAUAUCGAAUCUUAUAAGAGUUAUUUCUUAUCAUCAAAGCUUAAUAAUAAUAUGGAAAACUCAUUUAAAUCGCCAUCAAAAGUCAAGUAUCAAUGGUCAAAUCCAUUGAAUAAUCUCCAUCAAAAACACAUAUCAAUGAUCUAUCCAUUCAUUCAUCUCAUAUCAAACACAUAUUGAUGGUCCAUCCAUCGACCAAUCUUUUGCUCAAUAACUAACCAUGGUCACAACACAACGCCUUGUGACAAGGCGACCGAGAUUUCCCCUUGGCAAGGUCUCCACCUACAAAGUCGAUGGCUGGGCCCAGAAGGAUAUCCCAAAUCUAGUAUGCAUACCCCAAAAAGCCCUCACUGGGUUCACAGUCAUAUUGAGCAUAAUAACCAUUCUCCAAUACCAGAAAAUCCAAUCAAGAAAUCAAUAUCUUAAACUAAACGAAUAACAUUUGCGGCAUAGCCCAUCAUCCAUUUCAUAUCAAUUUCUCAAAUCAUCAUAAACCCUUUCAUGAAUCAAUCGCAAAGUAAUUUCAUAUAUAUUUCUCCACUUACUUUGUAUAAUACACUUUUCAAACAUCCACAAUCAACCAAAGAGUAACAAUUGCUCAAUCUGGCUUUUAUGCAAUACAAAUGCUCUUCUCGAUUCAAUAUAUAUAUACUUCAAGACAUGAUUUUUACAAAACCAAAGAAGAUAUAGUACGACUCACAUUGUCGUCUACAACCAAACGACGAACGAUACUCGUAUCGUGGAAUUCAAGGCCCUAUCAAAUAACCAAGAAAAAUGUUAAAAUCUAAUAAAACUCUAUCUCAAUUACGAAACAACUAAAUUACGCCUUAACUCUAACAAAAAGACUUCUACGCGCUAACAAUUCGCAUAACCAAAACGAUUGUUCAAGCCAGUCGUGAUGCGGAGUUUAAGCGCAAAACUUAGUUACGCAAUAACUUCCUCCUCCAAACCCCAUUCUGAACGUACUUAUAGUCAAUAGAGAGCCCUUGACAAAUAUUACAAGAAUCCCAACUUGACCAUCCCAAAAUCAAGCUGAAAGAUGACAAAAUACGAGCCCAAAGUUGCUGGACGCGUACUGUUCACUGCGCGCAAGAAACUUUGAAAUUUUGUUUCGGACAAACCAUAUGCUCAAAUCACGAUCCGUAAAAUCCCACGGCUUCACAACACCCUGAACUACCAUUCCUACAAAAAUACACAGCUCAACGACUCCAAAAAUGGACUUUGCCGCUGGAUUUUCUAAAAGUUCCGAAUUUGAACCCUAAACCCAUAAACUACUUCAAUUGGAUGAACGAGGAGCCUAAUCUCUUACCGGGUGCUGUGUUAUGGGGUCGAGUUGGCUUGGUGAGGCGUUCAAGGUGUGCACGUGCUAAAACUCUUUUCCUUUCUUCCCCUUUCUCUUCUUUCUUUUCUUUCUGGUUGAGGACCCCUCAGCUUCUAUUUAACCGAGCCCUCUCCUCUCUUCUUUUUACUUUAUUGACUUUUCAACUUCUUUUUAUGUUUCUUCUUUUGGGGCCCACUAGCCAAAUAUUACACCUUCCCACCGAGUCAAGUCAAUGUCGCCCCUACCAUCUUCUACGUCUCGACGUGAGGAAGUUAUUGUUGCCCGAGUGACACAUGUAAUGACGCCUUGAGGCCCUCCAUCUUUUCCUUAUCACAACUUGUCCCGUUCUUGCACCGAUUCCUCACUCCUAGUGCGUCCCACUUUCACCAGAUUUCUGAGGAAGAAAGGAAAAUGUCGAGCUCUCAGUGUUUUGAGAACCCACCAAACCUGAGCUCCACUUGCGGAGCAGGACACGUUGAAGAGCUUGCAGGUCUCAAGACUUACGUCACCGGCCCUUCCGAUUCCAAGCGUGCUGUUCUUCUCAUCGCCGAUGUUUUCGGUACUGGCCCAUUUCUUUAAUUUUGAUUUUGUGGUGUUUCUCUCAGUUGGGUCUUUUCUUUUGGUCAAUUAUGUAUAUCUCCUUGGUUCUUUGUCGUUCUUGUGCUUUUCGAUUGGUCCAUGAUAUUGCUGCUUGAUUGAUGAUCUUUGCUCAUCUGUUUGUGCAGGGUAUGAGGCUCCUAAGCUGAGGUAUGGAAUCUUUCUCAAGUUGUUCUAUGUAUAUGUUGUUCUCUAGUGCCAUCUUUUGACGUUUCAUGGUGAAUAAACUCUGUAUUCUCCGGAUAGCAUACAUUUGAAAGCUUUGCUUUUCCGUUCACCUUUCACCUGUGAUGACGAAGAGCAUUAGAUGGCACUUGAGGGCGAAGCCAGUUCAUUCUGGAUGAGUGUGUUUGGCGUUCUUCUGUUCCAAGUUAAAACAUCAUUUGUUGAAUUGUAUAUACACGCGGGACUUCAUGGCAUAGUCCAGCUGACAUUUUAUAUACAUCGCUUGAUUCAAUAUGAAUCACAGUUUUCUUUGUUCUAAUGAUUUCUGCUACUAAUAUGACUCAGCUGGUCAUGUAAUUCGGUUUCAUCUUGAGAUAGAGUUAUCCUUAGUUGCAACACCAAAAUCACAUAAGCUGGGGUUGCCUUCUUGACAGUCCCGGCAUAAUUCUAUGUUUUAACAAGAUUGAGAAUGAUAAGAGUUACCUUUUCAAAUUGUCAUACUUAUUUGCGGAAUGCUUUCGUUGUGUAGGAAACUCGCAGAUAAAAUUGCAUCCGCGGGAUUCUUGGUGGCUGUACCUGAUUUCUUUUACGGAGAUCCCAUUAUUGAUUUCACUAGUCCUAAUUUCAAUUUUGAAGCUUGGUUUAAGAAUCACGGCACGGUGAGUUUUUCACUCCUUCAGGCUGUGAAAGUGUGACAGUACAUUUAGAAGUUCAGAGGAAACAAGGGGCUUUCUACUGUGCAAACUUGAUUUGUAGACUCGAAUCACACGGUGUAAGUUGCAUUGGUAUUUAGACCUGGUUGGAGAUUGCUGGUCAUUUCAAAGAUUUUCGACGCCCAGCAAGAUCUUUAUUAUAUAAAAUUCCAAAUGCAAAACAUGAAACAGCAUAAGUAGAAUAAAAGCCUCAUGAAUUUUGAUGUUACCGACUUUUAGACAGUCUUUUUAUAAACGUUUACUUAAUUUGCUUCUUUAGGAUAAAGGGCAUGAAGAUGCCAAGCCAGUGAUUGCUGCUCUUAAGAGCAAAGGUGUGUCUACCAUUGGGGCUGCAGGAUUUUGUUGGGGAGGUAAAAUUUUCUGAAUUCACUUUCCCAGUUUUGAGGGGGUUGUUGGGUUAAGAAAUGGGAAAUUUGUUCUAGUUGGAAAUUGUGAUCCAUUUUCUCUAAAAAAAUCUAGAGCUACUAACUUAAUCAUUAAGGUGAGAACCUUCUAGAAUUGUUGAGAAUGGAGAUUGCUAGUUGAAUCUAGAAAAUUCACAUGGGAAUGCAAGCAAGCAACAGCCAAGCAUCAAAGAAAAUCCUAGAACAAGUAAGAGGAGUCUAGAGAAGUCCAUGCUUCAAGAGAAGUCUAGAAUUCUAGAAUGCUUCAAGAGAAGUUUAGAAUUCUCUAUCUUAUGUUAGUAGCUAUUUGUAGAGAAGUGUAGAGACUUCCUCCACCUACUUUGGCAGCCUAUAUAAAGGAGCAAGUGCUCCAUGUUUUGGUGAAAGGGAGCUAACCAUAAAAACCACAUCAUGCUCCCUCACCAACACUUCCUUCAACUAUUGUAAAAUUAUUUUAUCCAACUAAUGAAACUAUUUUUGUCCCAUAAACCUUCUCAAAAUAUCCCAUAUCCCAUGUUCUUUAUCCUUUAAUUAUCCUAAUUUAUCCCUUGUCCAUCCUCUACAAACUAUAUCAUACACUUGCACACAACAUCACUAAUAAAAAACUAUCAUCAAUACCAAAACCAUACUUCCGCGCAUAUUUAUAUUUUUAACAGUUCUACAUUGACCAUUGAGAAACUAGUUUUGUUGACUUGCAGAAAAGUUCUUUCAAGUUGUUAAAAAGAGCUUGCCUAUUCUUUUCAGGAGUGGUGCUGGUGAAAUUAGCAGGCACUGAAGACAUUCAAGCAGCAGUUAUUCUGCACCCCGGUCCUAUGACCGAAGAUGCAAUCAAAGGUAAAGCUAUGCCAAUAAACAUGGACUUGCUAUUUUCUUCUCAGCCGCAGCGAUAUAAUUUCUUCAUGAGGGUAUAAGACUUGGUACUUGGCACGGGAGCCUUUAUCGCCUAUUAUGAAAUGCUCAUGAACAAUUAAAUUAUAUGAAUUCUGAUGGGAGUCUGCAAUGCAGCCAAGAGUGACGAAGAAACUCGCUAUAACAUGUCCGGUCAAUCACAAAAAAUCGAUGGCACGACUUUUGUCUACUUGAGAAGUGUUCCUUAAACUGGAAGCCUUAAAAGACCUUAUUUUCUUCUGUUCUUUGUUCAGCUGUCAAGAUUCCAACUGC